CCUGUCUCAGUUCGGAUUGGAGUCUGCAACCCGACUCCAUGAAGCUGGAUUCGCUAGUAAUCGCGCAUCAGCCACGGCGCGGUGAAUACGUUCCCGGGCCUUGUACACACCGCCCGUCAAGCCAUGGGAGCCGGGAGUGCCUGAAGUACGUGAGCGCAAGCAGCGUCCUAAGGCAAAACCGGUGACUGGGGCUAAGUCGUAACAAGGU
This 208-nucleotide ribosomal RNA is filed under the name uncultured bacterium. RNAcentral describes it as "partial 16S ribosomal RNA". It matches the Rfam family "Bacterial small subunit ribosomal RNA", at positions 1282 to 1497 of the family's 1533-position model. The record is from RNAcentral.